AGGGCGGUGGCCAAGUGGUAAGGCACAGGUCUUUGGAACCUGCAUGCGUAGGUUCGAAUCCUACCCGCCCUGCCU
RNAcentral lists this transfer RNA (75 nucleotides) under Candidatus Poribacteria bacterium. RNAcentral describes it as "tRNA-Gln". It matches the Rfam family "tRNA". From Rfam's summary of the family: Transfer RNA (tRNA) molecules are approximately 80 nucleotides in length. The record is from RNAcentral. Lineage: Bacteria; Candidatus Poribacteria.